UACGUAUGGUGCAAGCGUUAUCCGGAUUUACUGGGCGUAAAGGGAGCGCAGGCGGUGCGCCAAGUCUGAUGUGAAACCCCGGGGCUCAACCCCGGGCAUGCAUUGGAAACUGGCGGGCUGGAGUGCCGGAGAGGUAAGCGGAAUUCCUAGUGUAGCGGUGAAAUGCGUAGAUAUUAGGAGGAACACCAGUGGCGAAAGCGGCUCUCUGGUCUGUAACUGACGCUGAGGUUCGAAAGCGUGGGUAGCAAACAGG
RNAcentral lists this ribosomal RNA (253 nucleotides) under uncultured bacterium. Its description in RNAcentral is "partial 16S ribosomal RNA". It matches the Rfam family "Bacterial small subunit ribosomal RNA", at positions 524 to 776 of the family's 1533-position model. The record is from RNAcentral.